This 480-nucleotide ribosomal RNA is filed under the name uncultured bacterium. Its description in RNAcentral is "partial 16S ribosomal RNA". It matches the Rfam family "Bacterial small subunit ribosomal RNA", at positions 28 to 507 of the family's 1533-position model. The record is from RNAcentral.
GACGAACGCUGGCGGCGUGCUUAACACAUGCAAGUCGAACGGAAAGGCCUGCUUUCCCUUGUGGAUUGCGGGUACUCGAGUGGCGAACGGGUGAGUAACACGUGAGUGAUCUGCCCCCAACUUGGGUAUAAGCCUGGGAAACUGGGUCUAAUUCCCGAUAGGACUGCAGGGUGGUGCCUGUGGUGGAAAACGAUUUUCUAGUGGUUGGGGAUGAGCUCGCGGCCUAUCAGCUUGUUGGUGGGGUAAUGGCCUACGAAGGCGGCGACGGGUAGCCGGCCUGAGAGGGUGACAGGCCACAUGGGGAGGGGGAGGCGGGCGGGACUCAGGAGGGAGGGAGGAGGGGGGAAUGGGGCAGAAUGGGCGGAAGCCUGAGGCAGCAACGCCGCGUGCGGGAUGAGGGCCUUCGGGUGGGAAGGAGGUAGCGCCGGUGAAGAAGGGGGAGGGAGGGGAGUGGGUAAAGAAGAAACGGCUAACUACGUG